Molecule: ribosomal RNA, 397 nt
Filed under: uncultured bacterium
Lineage: Bacteria
Description: partial 16S ribosomal RNA
Rfam family: Bacterial small subunit ribosomal RNA
Source: RNAcentral
AUACGUAGGGGGCGAGCGUUGUCCGGAAUGACUGGGCGUAAAGGGCGUGUAGGCGGCCGAUUAAGUCUGGAGUGAAAGUCCUGCUUUCAAGGUGGGAAUUGCUUUGGAGACUGGUUGGCUUGAGUGCGGAAGAGGUAAGUGGAAUUCCCAGUGUAGCGGUGAAAUGCGUAGAGAUUGGGAGGAACACCAGUGGCGAAGGCGACUUACUGGGCCGUAACUGACGCUGAGGCGCGAAAGCGUGGGGAGCGAACAGGAUUAGAUACCCUGGUAGUCCACGCGGUAAACGAUGAAUGCUAGGUGUAGGGGGUAUCGACUCCCUCUGUGCCGCAGUUAACACAAUAAGUAAUCCACCUGGGGAGUACGGCCGCAAGGUUGAAACUCAAAGGAAUUGACGGGG